Molecule: ribosomal RNA, 406 nt
Filed under: uncultured bacterium
Lineage: Bacteria
Description: partial 16S ribosomal RNA
Rfam family: Bacterial small subunit ribosomal RNA
Source: RNAcentral
AUUGAACGCUGGCGGCAGGCCUAACACAUGCAAGUCGAGCGGAGCGGCGGACGGGUGAGUAAUGCCUAGGAAUCUGCCUGGUCGUGGGGGCGAACGUCCGGAAACGGGCGCUAAUACCGCAUACUAUCAGAUGAGCCUAGGUCGGAGUAGCUAGUUGGUGGGGUAAAGGCCUACCAAGGCGACGAUCCGUAACUGGUCUUAGAGGAUGAUCAGUCAAACUGGAACUGAGACACGGUCCAGACUCCUAGUUGAGGCAGCAGUGGAGAAUGUUUGACAAUGGGCGAAAGCCUGAUACAGCCAUGCCGGGUGUGUGAAGAAGGUCUUCGGAUUGUAAAGCACUGUAAGUUGGGAGGCGUUACCAACAGAAUAAGCACCGGCUAACUUCGUGCCAGCAGCCGCGGGAUAC